GUGUGUCCCUCCUGUCUCUGCCUUCUAGAUGCUGAGGUGACAGGUGUGUCCCUCCUGUCUCCGCCUUCUAGAUGCUGAGGUUACAGGGUCUUGAUAUGUAGCCCAGGCUGUCCUCCAAUUGGCAAUCUCUUGCCUACAUCUCAUGUUUUGGGGGACCACAGGGAGUCUCCUUGGGUCCUGUCACUCACAGCACAGUUGUGACUCAUCAGUUAUGUAGUUAUGCACAACUUCGAAUGGCAAAUGCCUCCUGUUUUAGAAAGUUCUGGAAACUACAGGAGGUAGGCCUAGCUGGAAGAAGUCAA
This is a long non-coding RNA of Apodemus sylvaticus (European woodmouse), 302 nucleotides long. RefSeq lists it as uncharacterized. NCBI's taxonomy places the organism in Eukaryota, Metazoa, Chordata, Mammalia, Rodentia, Muridae. The record is from RefSeq and is a predicted model, not a curated record. The transcript is spliced from 3 exons.